RNAcentral lists this ribosomal RNA (253 nucleotides) under uncultured bacterium. Its description in RNAcentral is "partial 16S ribosomal RNA". It matches the Rfam family "Bacterial small subunit ribosomal RNA", at positions 524 to 776 of the family's 1533-position model. The record is from RNAcentral.
UACGCAGGGUGCGAGCGUUAAUCGGAAUUACUGGGCGUAAAGCGUGCGCAGGCGGUUCGCCAAGUCAGGUGUGAAAUCCCCGGGCUUAACCUGGGAAUUGCGCUUGAAACUAGCGGGCUUGAGUGUGGCAGAGGGGGGUGGAAUUCCACGUGUAGCAGUGAAAUGCGUAGAGAUGUGGAGGAACACCGAUGGCGAAGGCGGGUCUCUGGGCCGAUACUGACGCUGAGGAGCGAAAGCGUGGGGAGCGAACAGG